This 206-nucleotide ribosomal RNA is filed under the name uncultured bacterium. RNAcentral describes it as "partial 16S ribosomal RNA". It matches the Rfam family "Bacterial small subunit ribosomal RNA", at positions 28 to 234 of the family's 1533-position model. The record is from RNAcentral.
GACGAACGCUGGCGGCGUGCUUAACACAUGCAAGUCGAGCGGUAAGGCCCUUUCGGGGGUACGACGAGCGGCGAACGGGUGAGUAACACGUGGGUGACCUGCCCUCAGCUCUGGGAUAAGCCUGGGAAACCGGGUCUAAUACUGGAUAUGACUCCAUGACGCAUGUUGUGGGGUGGAAAGCCUUGUGCGGCUGAGGAUGGGCCCGC